GUCACUACACACAAAGCUUCUUGAGAACUGGGGCUGUCUUUUGCGUUUAUAAUCCCAGACUUGAUAGAUUAGAUUAUCUGAUAGAUUAUCUGUUGAAUGCUUUAACAUAUACUCCAAAUAUCCCAGAAAAAAACAAAACAAAAAAAACA
Leopardus geoffroyi (Geoffroy's cat) is the source of this 149-nucleotide long non-coding RNA. RefSeq lists it as uncharacterized. The transcript has 2 exons. Lineage: Eukaryota; Metazoa; Chordata; Mammalia; Carnivora; Felidae. The record is from RefSeq and is a predicted model, not a curated record.